RNAcentral lists this long non-coding RNA (1321 nucleotides) under Sus scrofa (pig). Its description in RNAcentral is "lncRNA (ENSSSCG00060056690.1)". The record is from RNAcentral. Lineage: Eukaryota; Metazoa; Chordata; Mammalia; Artiodactyla; Suidae.
UGGGUUCUUAACCGGCCGAGCCACAAUGGGAACUUCACCUAUUCUUAUCACUGAUUGCUUAUUGAUUAUUUCUGUCAACAAAUCGAAUAAGUACUAUUCAGAAAAGUGUCUAAUUCUGAUCCUGAUUCAAAAUCAGUUAUGUAGUUACAUUAUGCACAAUUCUAAUGGGAUUUGAUGAUUUGAUUAGUUCACAGACCGUAAAUAGUGGGAGAGAAGUAAGGGGUGAAAACGUGUCUAGAGAGAAACAUGAAAUUCAGUAGCAAAGAAUUAGAGCUGGAGAAAAGACAAAUAACCAGAAUAAGAGGUAUUUCCCAAACAGCUUGUCACUUCGAGUCUCUUACUUUGGAGGGUAUAGUAGUAUGUACUUCUAUUUGUCUUGAAGCCUGCAUCAUAUUACAAUAAGGUUUAAAAAUCCGUGUUCGAAGCUGAGCAUUAACACCCAUCUCAUUUUGUUCCAUCAGCCCUGUUGAAGACAGCAGGUUGAGAAGAGUGGGAUAAAGUGUGGAGACAAUACACCCAUGAUUGAAGAUAGAAGAAAGGAAAAGCUAUAGCAGUUUCCCUGACAGUCUGAACUCCAAGCUGGGCUCUUGGGCCGGUUAACUUCAGGAGCCACCUGCCCUAAAUGCUAUGGUUUUCCUAGAGCAACACCUAGGUGUUGAGGUGAGACAAUGCUCUGUUUUUUUUUUUUUCUUUUUAGGGCUGCACCCUCAUUAUAUGGAAGUUCCAGGCUAGGGGUUAAAUCAGAGCUACAGCUGCUGGCUUACACCAGAGCCAUAGCAACACAGAGCUGAGCUGCCUCUGUGGCCUACACCACAGCUCACAGCAAUGACAGAUCCUUAAUCUACUGAGCAAGGCCAGGGAUCGAACAUGCAUCCUCGUGGAUCCUAGUUGGGUUUGUUGUCAUGAGCCACAAUGGGAACUCUGAAGACACCCUGUUUUAGAGAUACAGUAAAUGACAUACAAAGAGUAUUUUGAGAGAAAUGGGGUAUAUCCUAUGCACUGUGAACCUAUUCUUUAAGUUUCCUAUAAAUCUCCGGUACCACAUAUAUGUCUUACUAAUGCUUCGGAAUGAAUUUGCUACAGUGACUGGGAAUGGUGUUGAGUCCUGCCUCAAGGAUGUCACGGGGUGAAGAUAAAAGCUACUUGCAGUAGAGCUGAGAGCCAAGUUCCUUUCAAGGCGUUAUCAACAUAGGACUGGGAGAGUACAGACAGAAGGCCCAUGUGAAGAGGAAGUCACAUUGCAUUAGAGAACCAACAGGAAAGUUGUCUUAAACUUGCAAAAAAAAAAAAAAAAAAGAGCAAAACCAAACUCUCAGUUUUU